Molecule: long non-coding RNA, 1933 nt
Organism: Brassica rapa (field mustard)
Lineage: Eukaryota; Viridiplantae; Streptophyta; Magnoliopsida; Brassicales; Brassicaceae
Source: RefSeq, a predicted model, not a curated record
GUGGUGAAACUGAUAGAGCGUGUGUUACGUUUAUUAAAGAAAGCUUUUGAUUGAGAGCGCACUGACAAGUUUCUUGGUUGCUGUGUCUUUUUCUCAAGGACGUGAUGCAUCCCCCUACCUCGAUUAUUUAAAGGUUAAAAAAAACAAAAAGAUGAGGAAACUUUUUUAUAUAAAAAAUUAUGUUUAAAAAUAAUUAAUUUUUUAUAUUAUGUUUGAACAUAGAAUUAUAUUAUUUUGUGCUUGUUUUAUUUAAAAUAAGCUUGUGUGUUUGGGUAAUGGUAUUUUAUAUUUUAUUAUUUCCAGAUUAAAUAUUUUACUAUUAAUAAUAUUUUCAUUUUAUUAUUUUAAAAGCAAAAACCAAAAACUAAAAACCAAAACUAAAAUCACUAUUCAUGUUUUCAAAAAAAACUAAAAUCUACUGCAAAAUAAAAAAAAAAAACUAAAAAUCAGAAUCUAAAAUCCAAAAAUCAAAAACUAAAAACCAAAAUCCAAAAUCUAGAAACUAGAAAAACAAUCAUCACAUGAAAUAGAUGAUUUUUCUUUUAUCAUUUAAGCAAAAACUCUAAUUUUGUUGUAGUUCUAUACAGUUAACAUUUUGCUAUUUUAUGCAUAAAAUUGGACAUGAUAAUAUAUAACAGUGGUAUGUCUAAAAUAGAAUUGAGCUAAAUAUAAGUAAAAUAUAAGUAAUAAAAAGAAGAAAAAAGGGGAAACGAAGCACAAUCUAAAGAAAAUAUAUGUAAAGAGGCGGUAUAUUUGAUUAAUCUUAAAUAUACAGAUUUAGGAGGGAGGAAUAGAAAAAUACGAUAAAAGUAACAUACAGUUAAAAUUAUAUUUGAGAAAAAAAAGGAUGAAAAUAAUGUAUAUAUUCAGUUUAAGGACAGUAAAAUAAAUAAAAACUAUGAUUUUGAAUACAAAACACUUUAAAAAGUAAAUAUAAUUUUUAGCACCUACUAUCUUAUAUGGUAUCUGAUAAAACAUUUAGCUAUGAAUAGUGAUGGCAAACAAGCUCUCCCACGUCCAAAUGACCCGCCCGCCGCGGAAUCAAGUUCAUCGGGUCUCAGUAGGCCUAGCCUAUGAGAUGCUGCUAUUUUUUCCUCUCCGAAUUUUUUUCUUUCAAUUUAUUAUGACUUAAGCUAUCUAUAUUGGUUACAUGUUUACAACAUCCUAUUUUCACUCCACGUCAUCUUCUCUUUCUUAUACAUUAUAUUUUAUUUUUUCCACAUCACCUUUCAACACCCAUUCCAUUUUUGUUCUCUACAGUGAUUAUCAUUGUUUUAAAAUAUUACAAGACCCUAUUAAAAGUUAGUGGAGGAUAAUAGCAUAAAUAUAGUAAAAAGAUGAGUUCCUUUUUUUUGUUUCCAAAUGAAAUUAAACAAGUUUCUAUUUAUAGAGAAUGGAAAAUGAUGAAUUUGAUAUAAAAAUUAUAUAAUUAUAAUUAUUAUGAAAUAAUUGAUGUUAAAUAAUUGAAACAAGAAAAGAGUUAGAAAAUAUGAGCAUCCAAACAGAAAAUAUGAACAUCCAAUCAGUUUCUUAUAAUUGUCUUCAUCCUUAUAUUUGCGUUACAAUUAAAAUCUGUGAGAAAAACAUAAUAAUUUAGUCAAAUCAACAUUUGCACGUCUUUAAGAAGGAUCCAUGUUUUUUUUUCAACACUGAAUUUGUCGCAUCAUAUAUUUUACUUUUGCAACAAACCAUUAAAAGCUUAUUUUAAUAUUAAUAAACAGUUGAUAAUUUUUUCAUUGUAGUCUUAGGCACUUUUUCAUAUUAUCUUAGUGUUAAAACUUUUUAACGCACCACAACUUUUCUUCACUUGGCUUUGCAGGAGCAUCAUUUUACAGUUUUAGACUAUUUAACAAUUUUGUAACAAGUUAAAAAUUAUGAGAUAGAAUAAAAAUAUAUCAAGACUUAAAAUCUAUAAAUAUGUAAAUGUCUAAUA